GAGGGUAUAUCUCAGUGGUAGAGUGUGUGCUUGGCAUGCAUGAGGUCCCAGGUUCAAUCACCAGUACCUCCA
RNAcentral lists this transfer RNA (72 nucleotides) under Camelus bactrianus (Bactrian camel). It matches the Rfam family "tRNA". Rfam says of the family: Transfer RNA (tRNA) molecules are approximately 80 nucleotides in length. Their secondary structure includes four short double-helical elements and three loops (D, anti-codon, and T loops). Further hydrogen bonds mediate the characteristic L-shaped molecular structure. tRNAs have two regions of fundamental functional importance: the anti-codon, which is responsible for specific mRNA codon recognition, and the 3' end, to which the tRNAs corresponding amino acid is attached (by aminoacyl-tRNA synthetases). tRNAs cope with the degeneracy of the genetic code in two manners: having more than one tRNA (with a specific anti-codon) for a particular amino acid; and 'wobble' base-pairing, i.e. permitting non-standard base-pairing at the 3rd anti-codon position. The record is from Rfam by way of RNAcentral. RNAcentral also lists the same sequence under 1 other name. Lineage: Eukaryota; Metazoa; Chordata; Mammalia; Artiodactyla; Camelidae.